Long non-coding RNA from Thalassophryne amazonica, 1768 nucleotides. RefSeq lists it as uncharacterized. The record is from RefSeq and is a predicted model, not a curated record. NCBI's taxonomy places the organism in Eukaryota, Metazoa, Chordata, Actinopteri, Batrachoidiformes, Batrachoididae. The transcript is spliced from 3 exons.
GUACUUUGUUUCACUCAGUAAACGUGUAACGCACAGCGUGUACAUGUGCAGCGUGCACAGAUUUAAACAGCUUUACUGAGGUCAGAUGAAUUAGAACUCUUAGGCAAUUCAUAAAUUUUCAUACAUCCACAAGCAGCACAUUUUUCUUUAUUAAAAGAAUGCCAUGAUUAUUAUUAGUAGUAGUAGUAGUAGUAGUAAACUAAAUGACAGCAACAGUAAGUGAGGGUCACGACCCCUCUCCUGAAGGUCACCUGUUUUGCGUGUUUUAUUGCUCUUUUUGCUCCGCCCAUGGCUCAUUCACUAAAUCAGGUGUCUCAGCCAAUUAAGAGCCACAAAACGUCAGACUUAACGAAUCAUCUGGUUGGAGUAGGUACACAUGGAAAACAUGCACAACAGGUGACCUCCAAGAGGGGGGUUGUGACCCCUGCUUGAACCGCCCUCAGUGCUGCGUGUUGACUGUCACUGUAUGUUUUUCAUAGAGUAGCGUCAUGCAGAUGACGUCAUGUAAUUCACGCCCUGAUGCAGCAGGUCUGGGCUGAGCCUGGACUGGAGCACGUGGUUCUGGUUCUGUGACACCAGCCUGUCUUUCUUCUUAAUAUGGACUUGUUGGAGCUGGAGAGACGCAGCGCCUGAGAUAUGAACCGGCACUGCUGCCCUGCGGCCCACGGUGCAGUGCUGCAUCUCUGGUCAUUUGGUAGUCUGAGAUGAAGCACUGUAGCUCGGGACGGAGGACACACCCACAUUCCACGAUGCCCAUGCCCCCCACGCACAGGAUGGUGAGAUUGUGAGGAACAGCAGAGCUUCCAACCACAAUUCAUCACCGUCAUCAUUCAACACCUUUUUCUGUCUUUAUUUUAUGGCAGUGCUGUAUAUUUUGUUCGUUUAAGGGUUUUUUUUUUUUUGUUUUGUUUUGUUUUGUUUAACAGGGAUUUAUACCGGUGAAUAACAUUCUUUAUCUUGUUAUAUGCAUUAUUUGAGGGAUGCUCAACUGGCAAUACAUUUAAAUUAAUGAGAAAGUGUUUUUAAAAAUAUUAGUUCAACUUAAAUCAAUGGCUAAACGAUCAAAAGUCACAAAUCACAUACAGUAAAUUUGGAAAAAUACUAAUUUUAUUACAUAUAUUUUUCUUCGUUAUAUUUAUUAGUCUGAAGCAAAAUGUCCACAGGACCUUUUAAUGGUUUUUUUACACUUUCAUUGAACGCAAUAUCUAAAGCAACCAUUAAAGUAAAUUAGUGCAAAGAUACAGUAAAGAAUCAGUAAAAAACAGUGUAAAUUGAAUUACAUAUUUAUUGAUUGAUUGACUGAUUUUUACAGUAGAAUCUUAGACAUUUGCUAAAACUGGGGAAGGAAGGAAGGAAGGAAGGAAGGAAGGAAGGAAGGAAGGAAGGAAGGAAGGAAGGAAGGAAGGAAGGAAGGAAGGAAGGAAGGAAGGAAGGUGCAGGUGAUUUUAAUGAAAAAGAAGUGAGAAUGUGUGACAAUCAGAAGUGAAUGAUUUCGUCUCCUCUCUCCUGGGGUCCAGUUUUCCCAGGAAUCCCUUGACAAAUGAGAAAAGGGGAUUCCUGGAAAUACUGUUCUUGGGGGCGGGGCUUAGCAGCCUUUCCUCUUCAGUCAUAAAGCUGCUGAUGUUUCUGCUGUGUUUCCUGCUUUCACUGGAAUGUUUUCAGAAAACAAUGUACAACAGCCUUGAAUGAACUAUUAAUCAAUAAUAAUGUUAUUUCAGUCAGCUGAAUGUUGUUGAACUGUGAUAGUCGCUAAUAAACUACAAAUCAA